AUUUGACCAAGAAUCAGGAGCUUUGAAGGCACAAGGCAAGCGCGCCGGCCGUGAGCAGCCAGCUGAUGCAGAGGGCACAUCAGGAGAAGCCAUCCUGGCUCAUCACACAACGGCCGUGCCGUCCGCUGCCGGUUCCGUGUUGGAACCCGGAGCGCUGGAGUGGCCUCCGCGCGCAUCUCCGAACCUCUCCAGCCGCAUCCAGUCACCGGGACCGCGGCCGCCUAUGAGAACAUCAUUAGAGAGCAGAAGGAGCUGCGCGCACGGCUGCAGCAGUUCAUGGGCGGCGGCGCUGUGGACUCUGCCGAGCACAAGAAGCUGUGCUCGGCGCUGGCACAGCUCGAGAAUCGCUUCUGUGAGAGGAGGCUCUGGAGUGCGAACUGACCACGCUAAACGAGGGCCGCCAGCAGCUUGCCCAGCUGUAGCAGCUGGUGUCGCAGCCGAUUGUUGGCCAGCAGCCGGCGGCGGCCGCUCCUUCCGUGGCGGCCCCGGACAGCGGCACCAACUCUCCGACUGCCCCGCCCGCCGUCCGUCCGCCCUGGCCGAGGCUAGCAGACCGCCCAGCGGAUACUGUCGCUGAUCGAGCAGAUCGGCGCCUGCAAGUACGUGGACGGACAAGCGGCUCCGCUGCACGUGUGCGAGCACUGCGGCGCCCGCGGCAAGCGCGUCCCAUUAUAGUUGGACGAGACUGUGUAAAACCGCCUAUAUCAAACCGUUUCAGUGCCUGACACUGUGUGAUGGGGCCGGCUGCGUCCCCGAGUGGGCGAGUGAACUAUUCGCCUCCGCAGCGGGGCAUAUAUUGCUCUAAAUGGUUGGCGAGUCGUCUUCAGCGAGUUUCGAGGAAAUUAUUAGCGUGUUGCCAUGUUGGGGGCGGAUCGGCGUCUGUCUGGGUGGUUACGUUUGGAAUUGUUUCAUUGUUUAUUUUAUAUCACAGUGCAUGAAUUUCUUGGUGAUAAACAUAUGCACCGUGUACUUCAUCAGCGACGCCACGACGCACCUAAACGUGCAGUCAGCGGCCGGCUGCGUCCCUUUCCUACCCCACCCGCCAAAAUUUCUGAAAAUGUGUGCUUUGGUCCGGUCGGAAACAAUCCUUGCUUUUACAAAAUUUGUGAUUUAUUCAUAAUUCAUGGCCAGCAAUAGCAUAAUUACCUAUUCAUUAGUAGAAUAACAGCUGUUGGAAUUUGCAUCGCAGCUAUCAAAGCGAUUCCGGUUAAACUUCAAACACUUGUCUCAAACGAUUUCAGAUGUGCGGACUAGCAAAUAAAGCAACGACACACCUUC
RNAcentral lists this long non-coding RNA (1278 nucleotides) under Amphibalanus amphitrite. Its description in RNAcentral is "uncharacterized LOC122391181, transcript variant X2". The record is from RNAcentral. Lineage: Eukaryota; Metazoa; Arthropoda; Thecostraca; Balanomorpha; Balanidae.